This 381-nucleotide ribosomal RNA is filed under the name uncultured eukaryote. RNAcentral's name for it is "SSU rRNA". It matches the Rfam family "Eukaryotic small subunit ribosomal RNA", at positions 587 to 972 of the family's 1831-position model. The record is from RNAcentral.
AGCUUCAAUAGUGUAUAUUAAAGUUGUUGUAGUUAAAAAGCUCUUAGUUGAAUUUCUGGCUGGGCAUGUGGGUUUGCUCUUACAAGUGUGUGGCAUACAUGUCUGGCCAUCCUUUGGGAGAGCCACAGUAGCAUUAAGUUGUUGGUGUGGGGAUCCCAAUCCUUUACUAUGAUGAAAUUAGAGUGUUCAAAGCAGGCUUACACCGUUGAAUAUAUUAGCACGGAAUAACAGCAUAGGAAUAUUGUACUAUUUUGUUGAUUUGCGCACAAUAGUAAUGGUUAACAGGAACAGUUGGGGGUGUUUGUGUUUCAUUGUCAGAUGUGAAAUUCUGGAUUUUUGGAAGAAGAACUACUGCAAAAGCAUUUACCAAAUAUGUUUUCA